AGUGUAGUAUCUGUUCUUAUCAGUUUAAUAUCUGAUAUGUUCUCGAUAUGAGAAC
Molecule: small nuclear RNA, 55 nt
Filed under: Gopherus evgoodei (Goodes thornscrub tortoise)
Lineage: Eukaryota; Metazoa; Chordata; Testudines; Testudinidae
Description: U2 spliceosomal RNA (ENSGEVG00005007632.1)
Rfam family: U2 spliceosomal RNA
About the family: U2 is a small nuclear RNA (snRNA) component of the spliceosome (involved in pre-mRNA splicing). Complementary binding between U2 snRNA (in an area lying towards the 5' end but 3' to hairpin I) and the branchpoint sequence (BPS) of the intron results the bulging out of an unpaired adenosine, on the BPS, which initiates a nucleophilic attack at the intronic 5' splice site, thus starting the first of two transesterification reactions that mediate splicing.
Source: Rfam by way of RNAcentral